RNAcentral lists this ribosomal RNA (482 nucleotides) under uncultured bacterium. Its description in RNAcentral is "partial 16S ribosomal RNA". It matches the Rfam family "Bacterial small subunit ribosomal RNA", at positions 30 to 507 of the family's 1533-position model. The record is from RNAcentral.
AUUGAACGCUGGCGGCAUGCCUUACACAUGCAAGUCGAACGGUAACAGGUCUUCGGAUGCUGACGAGUGGCGCACGGGUGAGUAAUACAUCGGAACGUGCCCGAUCGUGGGGGAUAACGAGGCGAAAGCUUUGCUAAUACCGCAUACGAUCUACGGAUGAAAGCGGGGGAUCUUCGGACCUCGCGCGGACGGAGCGGCCGAUGGCAGAUUAGGUAGUUGGUGGGAUAAAAGCUUACCAAGCCGACGAUCUGUAGCUGGUCUGAGAGGAUGAUCAGCCACACUGGGACUGAGACACGGCCCAGACUCCUACGGGAGGCAGCAGUGGGGAAUUUUGGACAAUGGGCGAAAGCCUGAUCCAGCUAUGCCGCGUGCAGGAUGAAGGCCUUCGGGUUGUAAACUGCUUUUGUACGGAACGAAAAGCCUCUUUCUAAUAAAGAGGGGUCAUGACGGUACCGUAAGAAUAAGCACCGGCUAACUACGUG